RNAcentral lists this transfer RNA (557 nucleotides) under Microcoleus vaginatus P0R1. RNAcentral's name for it is "partial 16S-23S ribosomal RNA intergenic spacer". The stretch from base 119 to 192 matches the Rfam family "tRNA". The record is from RNAcentral. Lineage: Bacteria; Bacillati; Cyanobacteriota; Cyanophyceae; Oscillatoriales; Microcoleaceae.
UUUAGGGAGACCAUCUGAUAGUCGACCGAACCUAAACAAUAGGUCGUUGUCAGUCAUCCCUGGUCGUUCGAGGAAUAGAUGUCAAAGCUUUCAAACUAUUAACUGGUUCGGAACUCGCGGGCUAUUAGCUCAGUUGGUUAGAGCGCACCCCUGAUAAGGGUGAGGUCCCUGGUUCAAAUCCAGGAUGGCCCACCUGGAAAAAAGUGAUGAAUUGUCAGUAAUGAGUAAUGGAUAAUCUUAGAUUAAUUCAGGACUCAUAAAAUCAAAAUCAGAACUACAAGUGUGGGGGUAUAGCUCAGUUGGUAGAGCGCAUGCCUUGCACGCAGGAAGUCAGCGGUUGGAGUCCGCUUACCUCCACUCUCACUAACUAGAACCAACAAAAAAAUUCAAAGAAAUAGAAAUCAGCACCCAGAGUAAGUAGGUAAAAAAAGAAGUCGGAAUGUUUGAGUUUAGAGUUCUAGUCAGAACCUUGGAAUCGGAAUAGAAUUUAAGUCAUCAAGGUAAUCAUUCAUCUCGCAGUCGGAUGCAUCUGACAGGCCACCACCCUCAAAAAGCAA